GACGAACGCUGGCGGCGUGCUUAACACAUGCAAGUCGAGCGGUAAGGCCCUUUCGUGGGUACACGAGCGGCGAACGGGUGAGUAACACGUGGGUGACCUGCCUUUAGCUCUGGGAUAAGCCUGGGAAACUGGGUCUAAUACCGGAUAUGACUCCGCGGUGCAUGCUGUGGGGUGGAAAGCCUUGUGCGGCUGGAGAUGGGCCCGCGGCCUAUCAGCUUGUUGGUGGGAUGAUGGCCUACCAAGGCGACGACGGGUAGCCGGCCUGAGAGGGCGACCGGCCACACUGGGACUGAGACACGGCCCAGACUCCUACGGGAGGCAGCAGUGGGGAAUCUUGCGCAAUGGGCGAAAGCCUGACGCAGCGACGCCGCGUGAGGGAUGACGGCCU
This 388-nucleotide ribosomal RNA is filed under the name uncultured bacterium. Its description in RNAcentral is "bacterial SSU rRNA". It matches the Rfam family "Bacterial small subunit ribosomal RNA", at positions 28 to 417 of the family's 1533-position model. The record is from RNAcentral.